AGUGAGGGAUUUUGCGCAAUGGGGGAAACCCUGACGCAGCAACGCCGCGUGAGUGAAGAAGGCCUUUGGGUCGUAAAGCUCUGUCGACAGGGAAGAAGUUGAGAUAUAUUAAUAGUGUAUUUCAUUGACGGUACCUGUAGAGGAAGCACCGGCUAACUCCGUGCCAGCAGCCGCGGUAAUACGGGGGGUGCAAGCGUUAUUCGGAAUCAUUGGGCGUAAAGGGCACGCAGGCGGUUCUGUCAGUCAGAUGUGAAAGCCCGGGGCUUAACCCCGGACGUGCAUUUGAAACAGCAGGACUUGAGUAUGGUAGAGGAAAGCGGAAUUCCUGGUGUAGAGGUGAAAUUCGUAGAUAUCAGGAGGAACACCGGUGGCGAAGGCGGCUUUCUGGACCAAAACUGACGCUGAGGUGCGAAGGCGUGGGUAGCGAACAGGAUUAGAUACCCUGGUAGUCCACGCAGUAAACGUUGUACACUAGGUGUAGCGGGUAUUGACCCCUGCUGUGCCGGAGCUAACGCAUUAAGUGUACCGCCUGGGGAGUACGGCCGCAAGGCUAAAACUCAAAGAAAUUGACGGGGGCCCGCACAAGCGGUGGAGCAUGUGGUUUAAUUCGACGCAACGCGAAGAACCUUACCCAGACUUGACAUCCUGUGAACCUCUUAGAAAUAAGAGAGUGCCUUCGGGAGCACAGAGACAGGUGCUGCAUGGCUGUCGUCAGCUCGUGUCGUGAGAUGUUCGGUUAAGUCCGGCAACGAGCGCAACCCUUGUCUUCAGUUGCCAGCACGUAAAGGUGGGAACUCUGAAGAGACUGCCCCGGUUAACGGGGAGGAAGGUGGGGAUGACGUCAAGUCCUCAUGGCCCUUAUGUCUGGGGCUACACACGUGCUACAAUGGUAUGUACAAAGGGCAGCAAGCAUGCGAGUGCAAGCUAAUCCCUUAAAGCAUAUCCCAGUCCGGAUUGGAGUCUGCAACUCGACUCCAUGAAGUUGGAAUCGCUAGUAAUCGUGGAUCAGCAUGCCACGGUGAAUACGU
This 1028-nucleotide ribosomal RNA is filed under the name uncultured bacterium. Its description in RNAcentral is "bacterial SSU rRNA". It matches the Rfam family "Bacterial small subunit ribosomal RNA", at positions 353 to 1371 of the family's 1533-position model. The record is from RNAcentral.